AAACUAGAUACAAGCGAGCGGCGGACGGGUGAGUAACACGUGGGCUAACCUGCCCAAGAGACUGGGAUAACACCUGGAAACAGAUGCUAAUACCGGAUAACAACACUAGACGCAUGUCUAGAGUUUGAAAGAUGGUUCUGCUAUCACUCUUGGAUGGACCUGCGGUGCAUUAGCUAGUUGGUAAGGUAACGGCUUACCAAGGCAAUGAUGCAUAGCCGAGUUGAGAGACUGAUCGGCCACAUUGGGACUGAGACACGGCCCAAACUCCUACGGGAGGCAGCAGUAGGGAAUCUUCCACAAUGGACGAAAGUCUGAUGGAGCAACGCCGCGUGAGUGAAGAAGGGUUUCGGCUCGUAAAGCUCUGUUGGUAGUGAAGAAAGAUAGAGGUAGUAACUGGCCUUUAUUUGACGGUAAUUACUUAGAAAGUCACGGCUAACUACGUGCCAGCAGCCGCGGUAAUACGUAGGUGGCAAGCGUUGUCCGGAUUUAUUGGGCGUAGAGCGAGUGCAGGCGGUUCAAUAAGUCUGAUGUGAAAGCCUUCGGCUCAACCGGAGAAUUGCAUCAGAAACUGUUGAACUUGAGUGCAGAAGAGGAGAGUGGAACUCCAUGUGUAGCGGUGGAAUGCGUAGAUAUAUGGAAGAACACCAGUGGCGAAGGCGGCUCUCUGGUCUGCAACUGACGCUGAGGCUCGAAAGCAUGGGUAGCGAACAGGAUUAGAUACCCUGGUAGUCCAUGCCGUAAACGAUGAGUGCUAAGUGUUGGGAGGUUUCCGCCUCUCAGUGCUGCAGCUAACGCAUUAAG
RNAcentral lists this ribosomal RNA (801 nucleotides) under uncultured bacterium. Its description in RNAcentral is "bacterial SSU rRNA". It matches the Rfam family "Bacterial small subunit ribosomal RNA", at positions 78 to 864 of the family's 1533-position model. The record is from RNAcentral.